Prunus persica (peach) is the source of this 894-nucleotide long non-coding RNA. RefSeq lists it as uncharacterized. Lineage: Eukaryota; Viridiplantae; Streptophyta; Magnoliopsida; Rosales; Rosaceae. The transcript is spliced from 3 exons. The record is from RefSeq and is a predicted model, not a curated record.
CAGCAAAGCUGGCGACCGGUCGCACGUUCUUGGCAACCGGUCGCAUUUCAAUCUGCUUGAAAUCGACUGGUCACUCCUACCUAGCGACCGGUUGCUUCCUCCAUUUUCUAGCUUCUUCAACGCUGCUUCAAAACAACCAGUCGCUCCUACCUUGCAACUGGUCGCCUCCUGCGACACCUGCAUCCUUAAUGUGAGCCAAUUUCCAACAGAGGUUGCUUUGGUAUAUGUGAUUGUUUCAAGCCUUUACAAAGGUUAGUGUUGGUGUAAUAUCGCCUUACAAUGCUCAAGUUAAUGCAACUCAAUUGAGAGUCAGAAACUACAGUGAAGUUUCUGGCACAGAUUUCUCUGUACGUGUGCAAUCUGUUGAUGGAUUCCAAGAUGGUGAAGAGGAUGUUAUAAUUAUCUCCACUGUCAGAUGUAAAUGGAAUGGAUCUGUAGGUUUCUCUCCGAUUGUCAACGAGCAAAUGUGGUGCUAACUCGUGCGAGGUAUUGCCUUUGGCGAAGCCACAUUGACAAACAGUAACUCAAUUUGGAAGAAGCUAAUUCUUGAUGCGAAGAAACGUGAUUGUUUCUAUAAUGCUGACGAUGACAAGAACUUGGCUCAGGCUCUUGCAGCAGCACGUCUAGAGCUUAACCAAACAGUAUGUGCAGCAGCAGGAGCAGAGCAAUUUACCUGAUGUAGAAGAAGCAUGUUUCUGUUGGUCUUUAAUUUCUUUAUGCAGCAAUUCAGUGAAACAAUUAUCGAAAUAUAUGAACCAUUUUUUAUUACUUGAUAGCUUCCGUUGGUGUUUUUUUUUUGGGUUGAAAGUUCUUUCUAUUCUUGAUUGUGGUUGUUCUUCAUUCAUGGAUCCUCUUUUAUUCUUGUGAAGUCCUAUUUUUCUUCCUGUGAGACCC